RNAcentral lists this ribosomal RNA (468 nucleotides) under uncultured bacterium. Its description in RNAcentral is "partial 16S ribosomal RNA". It matches the Rfam family "Bacterial small subunit ribosomal RNA", at positions 28 to 507 of the family's 1533-position model. The record is from RNAcentral.
GACGAACGCUGGCGGCGUGCCUAACACAUGCAAGUCGAACGGAAAGGCCCUGCUUUUGUGGGGUGCUCGAGUGGCGAACGGGUGAGUAACACGUGAGUAACCUGCCCUUGACUUUGGGAUAACUUCAGGAAACUGGGGCUAAUACCGGAUAGGAGCUCCUGCUGCAUGGUGGGGGUUGGAAAGUUUCGGCGGUUGGGGAUGGACUCGCGGCUUAUCAGCUUGUUGGUGGGGUAGUGGCUUACCAAGGCUUUGACGGGUAGCCGGCCUGAGAGGGUGACCGGCGACAUUGGGACUGAGAUACGGCCCAGAAUCCUACGGGAGGCAGCAGUGGGGAAUAUUGCACAAUGGGCGGAAGCCUGAUGCAGCAACGCCGCGUGCGGGAUGACGGCCUUCGGGUUGUAAACCGCUUUCGCCUGUGACGAAGCGUGAGUGACGGUAAUGGGUAAAGAAGCACCGGCUAACUACGUG